UACGUAGGGUGCAAGCGUUGUCCGGAAUUAUUGGGCGUAAAGCGCUUGUAGGCGGUUUGUCGCGUCUGCUGUGAAAUUUCGGGGCUCAACCCCGAACUUGCAGUGGGUACGGGCAGACUAGAGUGUGGUAGGGGAGACUGGAAUUCCUGGUGUAGCGGUGAAAUGCGCAGAUAUCAGGAGGAACACCGAUGGCGAAGGCAGGUCUCUGGGCCGAUACUGACGCUGAGGAGCGAAAGCGUGGGGAGCGAACAGG
Molecule: ribosomal RNA, 253 nt
Filed under: uncultured bacterium
Lineage: Bacteria
Description: partial 16S ribosomal RNA
Rfam family: Bacterial small subunit ribosomal RNA
Source: RNAcentral